GGCGAACGCUGGCGGCGUGCCUAAUACAUGCAAGUCGAGCGAGACCUUCGGGUCUAGCGGCGGACGGGUUAGUAACGCGUGGGAACGUGCCCUUCUCUGCGGAAUAGCCACUGGAAACGGUGAGUAAUACCGCAUACGCCCUUCGGGGGAAAGAUUUAUCGGAGAAGGAUCGGCCCGCGUUAGAUUAGAUAGUUGGUGGGUAACGGCCUACCAAGUCUACGAUCUAUAGCUGGUUUUAGAGGAUGAUCAGCAACACUGGGACUGAGACACGGCCCAGACUCCUACGGGAGGCAGCAGUGGGGAAUCUUAGACAAUGGGCGCAAGCCUGAUCUAGCCAUGCCGCGUGUGUGAUGAAGGUCUUAGGAUCGUAAAGCACUUUCGCCAGGGAUGAUAAUGACAGUACCUGGUAAAGAAACCCCGGCUAACUCCGUG
This 432-nucleotide ribosomal RNA is filed under the name uncultured bacterium. RNAcentral's name for it is "bacterial SSU rRNA". It matches the Rfam family "Bacterial small subunit ribosomal RNA", at positions 28 to 507 of the family's 1533-position model. The record is from RNAcentral.